UGCAAAAUGACCUGCUGUCAUACAGACAGAAGUUGGUUUUCCACUGGAUAACCCCAGCUACAGGUAUUUGCUGAGGAGUAGCACCACCAUGGUGUCACACCAUCAGCACAGAGGAGCACGCUGGACCACUGCAGAGGAGUGGAUCCAGGGCGUGGACCGCAGAGAACACGGAAUCUUCAUGUUGAGGGACACCCAGGGAACCAUCCAGCCGUGGCAUCCCCCCUGAAACAUGGAUUCCCUUGUCAACAUCCUGUCCCUUUUGUCAUCUACUCUUUGCUUCAGAUUUCUCUGUGGCAAAGAAUUCCAAAUGAUGGUAACAAUGACUGUUUCCAGCGAAAGUUGUAACAUUCUUUAAGAUCUUUUUCUAAUAUCGCUAGAAAGUUGAGCAAGUGAACCAUUAGGAAAUGUUGCCAAGGUCAAGAUGAAAUUAGACAAAAAACUAUUUAUAAUAAAAUUAGUGCUUUGCUGCCUGGAUCAGGAAACCGGAUCUGUCUUGUUUAAAUACACUGAACUAGAGCAAACAUUGAUCAGCCAUAGUGUAGCAUAAUGAGGCAGAUAUGUUACAUUAAUAUACUCCUUUAACUAUGAGAAGUGAUAGAAUGUUUGCCAGAAAAGGUACAACCACACCAAGCUUAAUCUACUGAAGAAAGCCUCAAUAAAAAUAUUUGAAUCAAUGAAAAUUAACUCUGAAAACACAGCUAUAACUCCUGAAGCAACAGAAGCAGCCUUGAAUGAAUUGAUAGCAACUACUUUUAUAAAAGGGAAAAAAGAGAAAAGAAAGAUUGUUACAAAAGAAUGCUCUGUACCUCUGAGAGUCUGUGUAGUGCUAUAAAUGUUUGCAGAGAAAUCCAAGACAUUGGGGGAGUUGUCAGGAACAGAACCAUUGCAGCAAAGACACAGUGGGGGCUCCAGCAGAGAGAACCCGAACACAGCUAAAUUAUAUGAACAGAUGAUAAGGAUGCCAGCGGAAUGAACCACCCUAGA
This is a long non-coding RNA of Bubalus bubalis (water buffalo), 984 nucleotides long. RefSeq lists it as uncharacterized. The record is from RefSeq and is a predicted model, not a curated record. Lineage: Eukaryota; Metazoa; Chordata; Mammalia; Artiodactyla; Bovidae. The transcript is spliced from 2 exons.